UAAUACAGAGGGUGCGAGCGUUAAUCGGAUUUACUGGGCGUAAAGGGCGCGUAGGCGGUGAGAUGAGUGUGAUGUGAAAGCCCCGGGCUUAACCUGGGAAGGGCAUCGCAAACGAUCUGACUGGAGUAGGUGAGAGGGUGGCGGAAUUUCCGGUGUAGCGGUGAAAUGCGUAGAGAUCGGAAGGAACGUCGAUGGCGAAGGCAGCCACCUGGCACCAUACUGACGCUGAAGCGCGAAAGCGUGGGGAUCGAACAGGAUUAGAUACCCUGGUAGUCCACGCUGUAAACGAUGAGGACUAGAUGUUGUUGGGGGAACCCAGCAGUAUCGAAGCAAACGCGAUAAGUCUUCCGCCUGGGAAGUACGGCCGCAAGGUUG
RNAcentral lists this ribosomal RNA (375 nucleotides) under uncultured bacterium. RNAcentral describes it as "bacterial SSU rRNA". It matches the Rfam family "Bacterial small subunit ribosomal RNA", at positions 521 to 896 of the family's 1533-position model. The record is from RNAcentral.